This 497-nucleotide ribosomal RNA is filed under the name uncultured bacterium. Its description in RNAcentral is "partial 16S ribosomal RNA". It matches the Rfam family "Bacterial small subunit ribosomal RNA", at positions 28 to 507 of the family's 1533-position model. The record is from RNAcentral.
GAUGAACGCUGGCGGCGUGCCUAAUACAUGCAAGUCGAGCGAACGGACGAGAAGCUUGCUUUUCUGAUGUUAGCGGCGGACGGGUAAGUAACACGUGGAUAACCUACCUAUAAGACUGGGAUAACUUCGGGAAACCGGAGCUAAUACCGGCUAAUAUUUUGCACCGCAUGGUUCAAAAGUGAAAGACGGUCUUGCUGUCACUUAUAGAUUGAUCCGCGCUUCAUUAGCUAGUUGGUAAGGUAACGGCUUACCAAGGCAACGAUGCAUAGCCGACCUGAGAGGGUGAUCGGCCACACUGGAACUGAGACACGGUCCAGACUCCUACGGGAGGCAGCAGUAGGGAAUCUUCCGCAAUGGGCGAAAUCCUGACGGAGCAACGCCGCGUGAGUGAUGAAGGUCUUCGGAUCGUAAAACUCUGUUAUUAGGGAAGAACAUAUGUGUAAGUAACUGUGCACAUCUUGACGGUACCUAAUCAGAAAGCCACGGCUAACUACGUG